RNAcentral lists this ribosomal RNA (248 nucleotides) under uncultured Prevotella sp. Its description in RNAcentral is "partial 16S ribosomal RNA". It matches the Rfam family "Bacterial small subunit ribosomal RNA", at positions 30 to 267 of the family's 1533-position model. The record is from RNAcentral. Lineage: Bacteria; Pseudomonadati; Bacteroidota; Bacteroidia; Bacteroidales; Prevotellaceae.
UGAACGCUAGCUACAGGCUUAACACAUGCAAGUCGAGGGGAAACGGCAUUAAGUGCUUGCACUUUUUGGACGUCGACCGGCGCACGGGUGAGUAACGCGUAUCCAACCUUCCCAUGACUAAGGGAUAACCUGCCGAAAGGCAGACUAAUACCUUAUGGUCUUCACUGACGGCAUCAGAUGUGAAGUAAAGAUUUAUCGGUUAUGGAUGGGGAUGCGUCUGAUUAGCUUGUUGGCGGGGUAACGGCCCA